This 1036-nucleotide ribosomal RNA is filed under the name uncultured marine bacterium. RNAcentral describes it as "bacterial SSU rRNA". It matches the Rfam family "Bacterial small subunit ribosomal RNA", at positions 67 to 1097 of the family's 1533-position model. The record is from RNAcentral.
CGGUAACAUUGGUGCUUGCACCAGAUGACGAGUGGCGCACGGGUGCGUAACGCGUAUGCAACCUACCUUUUACUAGAGUAUAGCCCAGAGAAAUUUGGAUUAAUCCUCUAUAAUAUCUUUUAAUUUCAUGAUUUUAAGAUUAAAGUUUUAACGGUAAAAGAUGGGCAUGCGUCCCAUUAGUUUGUAGGUGAGGUAACGGCUCACCUAGACUACGAUAGGUAGGGGCCCUGAGAGGGGGAUCCCCCACACUGGUACUGAGACACGGACCAGACUCCUACGGGAGGCAGCAGUAAGGAAUAUUGGACAAUGGACGAAAGUCUGAUCCAGCCAUGCCGCGUGCAGGAUGACAGCCCUACGGGUUGUAAACUGCUUUUAUACAGGAAGAAACACUCCGACGUGUCGGAGCUUGACGGUACUGUAAGAAUAAGGAUCGGCUAACUCCGUGCCAGCAGCCGCGGUAAUACGGAGGAUCCAAGCGUUAUCCGGAAUCAUUGGGUUUAAAGGGUCCGCAGGCUGUUUUUUAAGUCAGAGGUGAAAUCCUGCAGCUCAACUGUAGAACUGCCUUUGAUACUGGAAAACUUGAGUUAUUGUGAAGUGGUUAGAAUGUGUGGUGUAGCGGUGAAAUGCAUAGAUAUCACACAGAAUACCGAUUGCGAAGGCAGAUCACUAACAAUAUACUGACGCUCAUGGACGAAAGCGUGGGGAGCGAACAGGAUUAGAUACCCUGGUAGUCCACGCCGUAAACGAUGGAUACUAGCUGUUCGUCUAACAUUGGUUAGAUGAGUGGCUAAGCGAAAGUGAUAAGUAUCCCACCUGGGGGAGUACGGUCGCAAGACUGAAACUCAAAGGAAUUGACGGGGGCCCGCACAAGCGGUGGAGCAUGUGGUUUAAUUCGAUGAUACGCGAGGAACCUUACCAGGGCUUAAAUGUAGUGGGACAGGUCUAGAGAUAGACCCUUCUUCGGACUCAUUACAAGGUGCUGCAUGGUUGUCGUCAGCUCGUGCCGUGAGGUGUCAGGUUAAGUCCUAUAACGAGC